UAACCAGAAAGCCACGGCUAACUACGUGCCAGCAGCCGGGUAAUACGUAGGUGGCAAGCGUUAUCCGGAAUUAUUGGGCGUAAAGCGCGCGCAGGUGGUUUCUUAAGUCUGAUGUGAAAGCCCACGUCUCAACCGUGGAGUGUCAUUGGAAACUGGGAGACUUGAGUGCAGAAGAGGAAAGUGGAAUUCCAUGUGUAGCGGUGAAAUGCGUAGAGAGAUGGAGGAACACCAGUGGCGAAGGAGACUUUCUGGUCUGUAACUGACACUGAGGCGCGAAAGCGUGGGGAGCAAACAGGAUUAGAUACCCUGGUAGUCCACGCCGUACACGAUGAGUGCUAAGUGUUAGAGGAUUUACGCCCUUUAGUGCUGACGUUAACGCAUUAAGCACUCCGCCUGGGGAGUACGGCGGCAAGGCUUAAACUCAAAGGAAUU
RNAcentral lists this ribosomal RNA (432 nucleotides) under Bacillus sp. MB366. RNAcentral's name for it is "bacterial SSU rRNA". It matches the Rfam family "Bacterial small subunit ribosomal RNA", at positions 480 to 911 of the family's 1533-position model. The record is from RNAcentral. Lineage: Bacteria; Bacillati; Bacillota; Bacilli; Caryophanales; Bacillaceae.